GCGGCAGCUGGCUCUCAGGGGCAUGCAGGGAUGCUACCAGGAUGCUUGGCCGAUCUGUCUCUGAGAAUGUACCAGCCGCACAGAAGAGAAAUUAUAAAGAGGAAUUAUAAAACACCUUGGAGCAGAAGGAGGCAGAAACAUGCAGAGCAAAAGCUUCCUGGACGGCAAAAAGCAUCAUCGUCUCCUCCUCUCACCGAGGUGCUGGGGCGUUUCCUUCAGUUGCACCCGAGCAGCAGUUCAGAAGACACCACACAAGUGCAAAUGAUGGGAGGUGCAACUGCAGGAUCUGCCGACAAAUCUGAGACAUCAAUAGCUGUGGAGAUGUGACAGCAGAGGCUUCAGCACGGGCAGGACAAACCUGCUGGGAAACGCUAAGCGAUACGCAGCCAGCCCCUGAUUUGCAAGACCCAGCUGCACACCGAUACUCACACCUGUAUCUAAAGAAUAUGGCACCACCUCGGGACGCGUUGAAAGGCAUUUCAUUCAUACAGCUCUGGCUUGCAAACAACUGAGGAUGCUCUGCACACCUGGCUGAUGCCUUGUGGCUGCUCCCUUCGGCUUGGCGGAGCUGAGGCACCAGGUAACCACCUCGCUGCUUGUCAUCCAUCUCACGUACAGCGACAGGCAGCCACGAUCCUCUCCCAGAUGUCCCCCGCCACUUCCCAGAGAUAGAAUUCAGGAAACAUUCGGGAAUGCUGCCUUAGCACAACACUGGUAACUCCGAAAAACGCUGUCCUCCACCGAACUGUGGGAGCAUGGCAAGCACAGGGCAGGCAGGCACUGCACCUGCAUGUAUAUACGUAUCAAUAAACCUCGGGGAGCUGCACAUGGACUGCUGUAUGCCUUGCCAGGACCCCACGCACUACGCUACAUAAGGCAGGCUGACUCAGAAUAGAGGCAGCUGUGGCAAGGGGAAACGUGACCCAUACACCGGGGUGAUGGGUCCAAGAGGCAGAUUGUUUCUUUAUUCUUCCUCUCACUUUCUCCAUAAAUCUAGCCAGGAGCUAAGCAGGUGUUUGGUGUUAAAGCCAUCAGCCAGCAAGGAGACAGAAAAUAAUGCAUCCUCCCGUGCUUCAAAGCAAGAUCUGUAUCACCUUGCUGCAAACAGUCAAAAGCUUCCUGAGCAGGAGCACCUUCGUGAGGAGCAGGAGCUGCUGCCUGUCCUCCCAGCUGCACACACACACCAACAGUACCCACCAGAUGCAGUGCCUGGGCUAGGAGCCACACCAGGUUCACCUGCACAGCACAGGUCCAUACCCAGCUCAGGACUCCAUUCCUUCUUCUGCAAAACACACACAGAGCUGCUGUUAUGCAUCACCUUGAAGGGAAGCUGCGUUUGCCAGCACCCCAGACUCACCUGUGUGCUACAUGGCACUAGCUCCGCAUGCCGUGAGGAGACAGAGGCAUCUCCACCCUCGGCUCCUGGCAUGGCCAGGCCAGGAGAACGUCGUCCAAAGGAGGCUGGAAGCGGCUGCCCGAUUACCCAGAGAAGCCACCAGCAUGUGUUGCUGCAGCCACCCCCGGUGAGGCAGCUCUGGUGCUUGGAAGUCAGGGUGCAGACCCCGUGAGCACCCAUUAACCACCCUUUGGGUCAUAAUCCUUUCAGGGGAGACUCAGGAGGCUGGAGGUGGGGGUGGCGGCUGCCCACCAAGUGUUCCCCGCAGCCCUGGCAUGAGAGAUCUGCAAAGUCUUGAGUGUCUCAUUGCAGGACGAAACCCCACAGCCCUCUUUCCACAGAUAUGUGUAAUAUCAGCUCAGGGCCUGCAUUGUUUAGUUCUGCAGCCUGCGUGGUGGUCUUACUCUGCAAAUUAUCCAGCGUUACGGGCUGAAUAAACUCAGCCUAUGUCAAUCA
Anser brachyrhynchus (Pink-footed goose) is the source of this 1852-nucleotide long non-coding RNA. The record is from Ensembl. NCBI's taxonomy places the organism in Eukaryota, Metazoa, Chordata, Aves, Anseriformes, Anatidae.